RNAcentral lists this ribosomal RNA (496 nucleotides) under uncultured bacterium. Its description in RNAcentral is "partial 16S ribosomal RNA". It matches the Rfam family "Bacterial small subunit ribosomal RNA", at positions 30 to 523 of the family's 1533-position model. The record is from RNAcentral.
AUUGAACGCUGGCGGAAUGCUUUACACAUGCAAGUCGAACGGGAGAGGGGGCAACCCCUCGAGAGUGGCGAACGGGUGAGUGAUAUAUCGGAACGUGCCCAGUCGUGGGGGAUAACGUAGCGAAAGUUACGCUAAUACCGCAUACGAUCUAAGGAUGAAAGCGGGGGAUCGCAAGACCUCGCGCGAUUGGAGCGGCCGAUAUCAGAUUAGGUAGUUGGUGGGGUAAAGGCUCACCAAGCCAACGAUCUGUAGCUGGUCUGAGAGGACGACCAGCCACACUGGAACUGAGACACGGUCCAGACUCCUACGGGAGGCAGCAGUGGGGAAUUUUGGACAAUGGGCGAAAGCCUGAUCCAGCCAUUCCGCGUGCAGGAUGAAGGCCCUCGGGUUGUAAACUGCUUUUGUACAGAACGAAAAGGUUUCUACUAAUACUAGGAGCUCAUGACGGUACUGUAAGAAUAAGCACCGGCUAACUACGUGCCAGCCGCCGCGGUAA